AUGUUUAAAAGUCUUAAACAGGUUUUUGUUGACCUCUUAUGUGCAUUUAUUUUUAACCAAAAAGAAGGUGAAAUGGUUUUAAAUGAUUUACCAUUCCAAAGACUGCACUCCUGGAUAUUUGGCAGUCUUUGGGGCUCGGAACUUAUGAUAACCCCAAGGAUUGUGGCGCUCCUGGAAGUUGGUCCGGCGCUUGUCGUUCGCAGACAGAGCACCCCACAGGCGAAUGAUGUCCGCUAACUGGUGCUGUGUAUGUGUCAGGUUCCCAUUCACCAUGGUUAUCAGGAUCUCUGCUAGGUUCUGUACGGCUGCAUAACCUGGCAGGUUGUUGGGUCCAACAGAGUCCUGUAACAACAAAUGUAUGAUAUCUAACACAUCUGAGUACCAUCAAUACUACUUAUACAACUACUUAUCCGAACCUCUGUUGUAAGCACAAAGAAGUUUUCAAAGAGUUUAAAUGUUAGCUGCAUGUUCAAAGUCAGCUGUCUAUGCCCCACCCCUUCUCCUUUCAUUAUGUAGCGAGGUAGAGAUCUUCCCUUUAAACCAUGUGAACCCCCCCCCCCCCCCUCUCUCUCUCUCUCCUAUUUCAUCAUCCUCUCUACUGGAGGUCAGCAAACUAUAUUAAGAUAAUACCUGGUCAUUUCCACUAGUACAAAUAUUCCAAGAAUAGGAUCUUUGUAGAUAAUGAGAAUGCCCCUUAUUUUAUUGGAGUUUAGGUCCAUUCACAUGAAUGAAAGGUUAGGAUUAAAUCUGUUCACAUAAAAAAGUAACAUGACCUAUAGUAGACAAAGCCCCUAUUCUACCAGUGUUACCAGAACUUAAGACUUAGAAUUAUUUACCCCAGGAUUAGAAACACAGAGAGAGGAAGUUAAUGUUGACAAUCUUUGAUUAUAAGCAAACAUAUAAAUUGUCCCUCUGCCUCUGCGGAUACCAGUUUGGGCUGGUGGACAAAGCAUUUGUUUUCUUGGAAAAGGAGUUGAGUCAGCGCAGGAAGUAUAGCAGGGAUAUACCCAACUGUCCAAUGAGCCUUUGUAUUUUCUACUCCUUCCCCUUAUUUUUACUUUCGCCCAAUCAGAAUGUUAGGAUAAAUUGUUCAGGACGACUGUUCGAGUGUCCAUCAAGUGUUAUGCCCGCCCAGUCACCUACUGUAAUUAUAAUGAAAUAGUGGAGUUUAGUGUAACAGUAUUUUGUAGGAGGAGAUCUCGGAAUCGAGAUUGUGAAUAUGUAAUGAGGUAUAAGAACCCCCUCCCUUGCAUGCAAUCCUCACUUGGAAACCCCCUCACUUGGAAACCCCCACCUAGCUGAACCCCUCUCUUGGAUCCCCCUCUCCCCACCUGGAACCCCAACUUCUUCUAAUUUCAUCUACUAAUAACUAUACGCCCUGCAAGCAAGUUUGGACUUUGGAGAAGUGAAGCAACAGUUUUGGUUGACCUUCUACGAUAUAUUCUAACAAAGAGCAAGGGUGUCAGGUUGUGACCAUUUCAUGAUCAGCAGAAAGCAACAGUUAAAUUGAAACAAAGCUUUAGAGUUUAAGCUAAAGGACUUUCACACAACCAUCAAAGUGUCCAAGUAAACUUCCAGUUUCGUCCAAGUCAACUUCCAGUUUCGUCCAAAUCAACUUCCAGUUUCGUCCAAGUCAACUCUCAGUUUUGUCCGAGUCAACUCUCAGUUUCGUCCAAGUCACGUUCCCGUUCCCGUACCCCCCAAGUCACCAAGUCACGUCCAGCUUCGUUCCCGCCAAGUCCAGUUCCCGCCAAGUCACGCCCAAGUUCGUCCCAGUCGCGUCUCGUCCCAAGUCAAGUCGCGAACAAGAAAUAAGCAAGUAACUACCGCGUGCAUGUAAGUCAUCUUCCCCUUUAACAUUUCUUCUAAUAUCCUCCCUUUCCCUUCCCCUAACGUACCUGAAAGAGUUGAUGGUGAUAUUGUGUGUUUUAUGUGAACGAAUCUAAAUAUUUCGUCUGUAGUUUGAUGAUUAUUUGAAGAAAGUGUAAAUGAUUUUAAUAAAGUAAAUAAUUAAGUGACACAUAAAUCAGCCUGUGUCCGUGCCUUUUGUUGUCUUUAAAGAAUCCUGUAGUUAAUCUAACUUAAAGGUGGUCCCAUUUGUGUAAUUAUCUGCCCGGGACGGAGUGGUUGCCCCACGGACCCAUCACUCCCUCCUCAUGCAUCAUGGUUUGCCCCUUUAAUUGGCACUCCAAAGGUGUUUGGGUUAGAAUUAUAUACUUAUUUAUAUUUUUGUUCUUGAACAGAAAACAAAUCUGAAAUGCAUGGUUGCUUACAUCAACAGUAUCAGUGUUGGUUGGCAGGUCCUGCGUGUCUGUUGGGGGAUCCAUGGGACCAGUAUCAGUAUUGGUUGAGGGAUCCAUGGGAGGUGCCGCAGUGUAGAGCUCACCACUCACGUCUUCCCCUACCACCUCUGCUUCGGCAGUCAGCAUGUCAGGAUGGAUGUCCUCCCUAUUUUGGAAGGCCUCUAACAUUGAUGAGAAAGUUGACCUGCCCGUUUGGCCCAGCAAGUACUCCAGUCCAAUUUUUUCUCCUAUAAAUAUAAGUAAAAAAUAAUAAAAAAGUUAUACACCGAAAAAUUCUCCUUGUGCAGGAUGUACUGAUCAACCAGGUUUACACCCUACUCUUUUCAAAUAGUUUCCUAGGUUCUUUAGCGUGCAUGAGGUGUGAUUGUCUCAUACACGGGACCUCCAUUCAUCUUCCUAUCCGAGGGACUAGCUUCUGCAGACUUAGUAAUGAGACAAAUCACAAGAACUUCCUAUCCCUCAUGGGUCGGAAGGCUGCCGUCUUUCUUGAGUUCUGCAUACCGCCGUUGCCUGAACUCUUCAAAUGUUUCAUUUGAUGUUUUGGGGCAAUAUAUCGCCCCCCACAAGUUCUUGUGAGUUUCCCUCACCAUCACCUCUUCAGAUUUUGUACACUGCCUGUCAUGUUUGGUUUUCGUGUACGUGCGUCGUGUUUUCCCUUCUUACUUAACCAUACCAUCUUUGCCGGAACUCUUCAAAUGUUUCAUUUAAUGUUUUGGGGCAAUAUAUCGCCCCCACAAGUUCUUGUGAGUUUCCCUCACCAUCACCUCUCCACAUUUUUUGCACUGCCUGUCCUGUUUGGUUUUGGUGUACGUGUAUCAUGUUUUCCCUUAGUACUUUACCAUACCAUCUUUGCCGGAACUCUUCAAAUGUUUCAUUUGAUGUUUUGGGGCAAUAUAUCGCCCCCCCCCCCACAAGUUCUUGUGAGUUUCCCUCACCAACACUUCUCCACAUUUUCUACACUGCCUGUCCUACUUGAUUUUAGUGUAGGUUCGUCUAGUUUUCCCUUCGGCUUCCUCCUCUGCCUUGAUGUGGCGGUACCGAGCUGUUUGGUAAUGCAUGGGGGGCUGGCGGGAGGCAGGUACUGGAACCUUAGGGACUGCAAAAGAGCAGGAAUGGUGAGGGUUAGGGUUGGUGGAGGCUGGAAGGACCUGUGGUGCAGGGGCAGAGGCAAUGGGCUGUUGUAUCUUCCUCUUCUUUGGUGUCUUUGGUGAGCAUGAAGGGAAGGUUAGAGUUGCUGAUUGAUUUAUUGGAAGCGGAAAGGCGGAAGCCUACGCAGCUUGUGGAAGAAGCAGAAAGGCAGAAGUCAACGGAGCAUCUGGCAGACUGUUUCCAGGAAUUCCAGAGCAAUCAUUCGUUUUCAUUGUAGUUUCGCUGGCUUAACAGAAUGGUAGAGUUAACAGAUAAUUAAGUUAGUAUCAAUGUUAUCAAAUUCCAAGAUCAUAUCAGCGUAUUUGUAGCGUUACGUUACCGAAUGUGACGAGUAAGUCUUCAGUUUGAAACACGACGUUGAAGUAACUAGUUGGGACUACUGCGGAGCAUAUAGUAGUCUGUCAUCUAUCCAGGCUUCACAAAUUGUAGAUCAAAAGCAUAUAAGUGAUAGAAAUUUGUCCUUCUCAGAGUUCCUCACGAGACAUAUAUCACUACUACGGAACAUAGGCUUCACAAAUAUUGUAGAUCAAAUUAUAAAUCAAAAGCAUAUAGGUGUCCUUCUCGAACUACUCUAGCCAUUUCUGACCGAAGGUCUAAGUCAUUGUCCUCAUUGGCUACAUUAAACGGUUCGAGAGAUCUCCUCAAAUUUGUGCGCAAAUCAUCUGCCGUUCGUGAUCGAUGAUUGACCUACGACUGUCAAUGAUUACCCUGAUGAUCCAGAAGCCGUGGGUUGGAGCAAGGGCUGGAGCGAUGAAUUUAAUUUAAUUAAAUUGAAUACGUCUCCAACUUGAUGGCCUGUAGAGAACUAGCUGGCCUAAUUAGACUCUGGAGGGAAGUAGCUGCUAUUACUGUCUCAGAGAUCUGUCGCUUUAUUCCGUUGUGAUGUGCAAGAUGUACUGGUCAACCGGGUUUACACCCUACUCUUUUUCGUGAAGUUUCCUAGGUUCUUUAGGGUGCAUGAGGUGUGACCGUCUCAUAUACGUGACCUCCAUUCAUCGUCCUAUCCGAGGGACUAGCUUCUGCAGACAUAGUAAUGAGACAAAUCACAAGAACUUACUGUCCCUCAUGGGUUGGCAGGCUGCCGUCUUUCUUGAGUUCUGCAUACCGCCGUUGCCUGAACUCUUCAAAUGUUUCAUUUGAUGUUUUGGGGCAAUAUAUCGCCCCCCACAAGUUCUUGUGAGUUUCCCUCACCAUCACGUCUCCACAUUUUCUACACUGUCUGUCAUGUUUGGUUUUCAUGUACGUGCAUCGUGUUUUCCCAUCAUACUUCAGCAUACCGUCUUUGCCGGAACUCUUCAUAUGUUCAUUUGAGCUUGUUGGACAAUAUAUCGCCCCCACAAGUUCUUGUGAGUUUCCCUCACCAUCACCUCUCCACAUAUUCUACACUGCCUGUCCUGUUUGAUUUUAGUGUAAGUUCGUCUAGUUUUCCCAUCAGCUUCCUCCUCUGACUUGAUGCGGCGCGGUACCGAGCUGUUUGGUAAUGCAUGGGGGGCUGGCGGGAGGCAGGUACUGGAAUCUUAGGGACUGCAUUAGUGAGAGCAGGAAGCUAGGGGUAUCUACCGCGAGGGUUCUUAUCGUAUGGGUGGAGGCUGGAAAUGAUACUAUUGACCAAUUAAAUUAAUGUGAUUGCUUAAUUAAUUUCAUUAUGCUUCAAAAGUGUCUGAAAAAAAACAAUAAAAAAGAAAUACACAAGAAAUCAAAAACCAAUAGAAUAAAUAAGAAUCUAAUUUAAAUAUCAUUUUUGUAGAUAAUAGUUAGAAUAGUUACAAUAUUCACAGUGGUUUUCACGGUGAUCCAGCGCUCUGUCUCCAAAACCUGGGGGGGGGGGUAGCCUCCAAGCCCCCCUCCCCCCCCCCCCCCUAGUAUUUACAAACCUCAUAUUAGCCCAGUGCAGUUAGUGUUAAAGGUAGUGUUGAGUAUCUCUAUUGAAACAUUAAAUGCAUAAUUUUGUAUGGAAAAAGGCUAUAACCAAUGACUUUUUUUA
Molecule: long non-coding RNA, 5436 nt
Filed under: Strongylocentrotus purpuratus (purple sea urchin)
Lineage: Eukaryota; Metazoa; Echinodermata; Echinoidea; Camarodonta; Strongylocentrotidae
Description: uncharacterized LOC115925435
Source: RNAcentral